Caenorhabditis elegans is the source of this 21-nucleotide non-coding RNA. The record is from Ensembl. Lineage: Eukaryota; Metazoa; Nematoda; Chromadorea; Rhabditida; Rhabditidae.
UAGGAGUUCAGUACUGUUUGA